UCGCGUCAAGCGCCGUAGGCAGGAGCGGGGGACCCAAGGUAGGUGCUGGAACCGGCAGUUGACGCCGGAACCGGCUUGGGGUGGAGCCGCAGGCCCGUGAAAGCGGGCGUGCGGCCGGGCAACUCAACCGGCCCGAACCCGACAGCUCACCUCGCAGGCGUCGGUGAGGGGAUCG
Regulatory RNA element from Streptomyces sp., 175 nucleotides. It matches the Rfam family "c-di-AMP riboswitch aptamer (ydaO/yuaA leader)". From Rfam's summary of the family: This family represents a conserved RNA structure found upstream of the ydaO and yuaA genes in Bacillus subtilis and related genes in other bacteria. NCBI's taxonomy places the organism in Bacteria, Bacillati, Actinomycetota, Actinomycetes, Kitasatosporales, Streptomycetaceae. The record is from Rfam.